CGCGCCCCUAGUGGUGGUCGAUAUUAUUGAGCCUAAAACGUCCGUAGCCGGUCUUCUAAAUCCUUGGGUAAAUCGGACAGCUUAACUGUCCGAAUUCCGGGGAGACUGGGAGACUUGGGACCGGGAGAGGUCAGAGGUACUUCUGGGGUAGGGGUAAAAUCCUGUAAUCCUGGAAGGACCACCGGUGGCGAAGGCGUCUGACUAGAACGGAUCCGACGGUGAGGGACGAAGCCCUGGGGCGCAAACGG
Molecule: ribosomal RNA, 248 nt
Filed under: uncultured euryarchaeote
Lineage: Archaea; Methanobacteriati; Methanobacteriota
Description: partial 16S ribosomal RNA
Rfam family: Archaeal small subunit ribosomal RNA
Source: RNAcentral